CCUACGGGUGGCAGCAGUGAGGAAUAUUGGUCAAUGGACGAGAGUCUGAACCAGCCAAGUAGCGUGAAGGAUGACUGCCCUAUGGGUUGUAAACUUCUUUUAUAUGGGAAUAAAAUGUUCCACGUGUGGGAUUUUGUAUGUACCAUAUGAAUAAGGAUCGGCUAACUCCGUGCCAGCAGCCGCGGUAAUACGGAGGAUCCGAGCGUUAUCCGGAUUUAUUGGGUUUAAAGGGAGCGUAGGUGGAUUGUAAAGUCAGUUGUGAAAGUUUGCGGCUCAACCGUAAAAUUGCAGUUGAAACUGGCAGUCUUGAGUACAGUAGAGGUGGGCGGAAUUCGUGGUGUAGCGGUGAAAUGCUUAGAUAUCACGAAGAACUCCGAUUGCGAAGGCAGUUCACUGGACUGCAACUGACACUGAGGCUCGAAAGUGUGGGUAUCAAACAGGAUUAGAUACCCGAGUAGUC
Molecule: ribosomal RNA, 460 nt
Filed under: uncultured bacterium
Lineage: Bacteria
Description: partial 16S ribosomal RNA
Rfam family: Bacterial small subunit ribosomal RNA
Source: RNAcentral